UAGCUUCUACAGCUCUAGUGAGCCA
Molecule: non-coding RNA, 25 nt
Filed under: Rattus norvegicus (Norway rat)
Lineage: Eukaryota; Metazoa; Chordata; Mammalia; Rodentia; Muridae
Source: RNAcentral